ACUACGGGUGGCAGCAGUGAGGAAUAUUGUUCAAUGGACGAGAGUCUGAACCAGCCAAGUAGCGUGAAGGAUGACUGCCCUAUGGGUUGUAAACUUCUUUUAUAUGGGAAUAAAAUGUUCCACGUGUGGGAUUUUGUAUGUACCAUAUGAAUAAGGAUCGGCUAACUCCGUGCCAGCAGCCACGGUAAUACGGAGGAUCCGAGCGUUAUCCGGAUUUAUUGGGUUUAAAGGGAGCGUAGAUGGGUUGUUAAGUCAGUUGUGAAAGUUUGCGGCUCAACCGUAAAAUUGCAAUUGAUACUGGCAGCCUUGAGUACAGUUGAGGUAGGCGGAAUUCGUGGUGUAGCGGUGAAAUGCUUAGAUAUCACGAAGAACUCCGAUUGCGAAGGCAGCCUACUAAACUGCCACUGACAUUGAUGCUCGAAAGUGUGGGUAUCAAACAGGAUUAGAUACCCCGGUAGUC
RNAcentral lists this ribosomal RNA (460 nucleotides) under uncultured bacterium. Its description in RNAcentral is "partial 16S ribosomal RNA". It matches the Rfam family "Bacterial small subunit ribosomal RNA", at positions 338 to 795 of the family's 1533-position model. The record is from RNAcentral.